This 2923-nucleotide ribosomal RNA is filed under the name Acinetobacter baumannii. RNAcentral describes it as "23S ribosomal RNA". It matches the Rfam family "Bacterial large subunit ribosomal RNA". Lineage: Bacteria; Pseudomonadati; Pseudomonadota; Gammaproteobacteria; Moraxellales; Moraxellaceae. The record is from RNAcentral.
GUUGUAUAGUCAAGUAAUUAAGUGCAUGUGGUGGAUGCCUUGGCAGUCAGAGGCGAUGAAAGACGUGAUAGCCUGCGAAAAGCUCCGGGGAGGCGGCAAAUAUCCUUUGAUCCGGAGAUGUCUGAAUGGGGGGGAACCCACCUACUUUAAGGUAGGUAUUGCAACAUGAAUACAUAGUGUUGCAAGGCGAACGAGGGGAAGUGAAACAUCUCAGUACCCUUAGGAAAAGAAAUCAAUUGAGAUUCCCUCAGUAGCGGCGAGCGAACGGGGAUCAGCCCAUUAAGUUAUGUGUGUUUUAGUGGAACGCUCUGGGAAGUGCGAACGUAGAGGGUGAUAUUCCCGUACACGAAAGGGCACACAUAAUGAUGACGAGUAGGGCGAGGCACGUGAAACCUUGUCUGAAUAUGGGGGGACCAUCCUCCAAGGCUAAAUACUCCUGACUGACCGAUAGUGAACCAGUACCGUGAGGGAAAGGCGAAAAGAACCCCUGUGAGGGGAGUGAAAUAGAUCCUGAAACCGCAUGCAUACAAGCAGUGGGAGCACCUUCGUGGUGUGACUGCGUACCUUUUGUAUAAUGGGUCAGCGACUUAUAUUCAGUAGCGAGGUUAACCGUAUAGGGGAGCCGUAGAGAAAUCGAGUCUUAAUAGGGCGUUUAGUUGCUGGGUAUAGACCCGAAACCAGGCGAUCUAUCCAUGAGCAGGUUGAAGGUUGGGUAACACUAACUGGAGGACCGAACCCACUGUCGUUGAAAAGCCAGGGGAUGACUUGUGGAUAGGGGGUGAAAGGCUAAUCAAGCCUGGUGAUAGCUGGUUCUCCCCGAAAGCUAUUUAGGUAGCGCCUCGGACGAAUACCAUAGGGGGUAGAGCACUGUUUCGGCUAGGGGGUCAUCCCGACUUACCAAACCGAUGCAAACUCCGAAUACCUAUGAGUACUAUCCGGGAGACAGACUGCGGGUGCUAACGUCCGUAGUCAAGAGGAAAACAAUCCAGACCGCCAGCUAAGGCCCCAAAAUCAUAGUUAAGUGGGAAACGAUGUGGGAAGGCAUAGACAGCUAGGAGGUUGGCUUAGAAGCAGCCACCCUUUAAAGAAAGCGUAAUAGCUCACUAGUCGAGUCGGCCUGCGCGGAAGAUGUAACGGGGCUAAAACUAUGUGCCGAAGCUGCGGAUGUAUACUUUGUAUACGUGGUAGGGGAGCGUUCUGUAAGCCGAUGAAGGUGUGUUGAGAAGCAUGCUGGAGGUAUCAGAAGUGCGAAUGCUGACGUGAGUAACGACAAAACGGGUGAAAAACCCGUUCGCCGAAAGACCAAGGGUUCCAGUCCAACGUUAAUCGGGGCUGGGUGAGUCGACCCCUAAGGCGAGGCCGAAAGGCGUAGUCGAUGGGAAAAUGGUUAAUAUUCCAUUACUUCUGUGUAAUGCGAUGAGAGGACGGAGAAGGCUAAAUCAGCCUGGCGUUGGUUGUCCAGGUGAAAGGAUGUAGGCAUGUAUCUUAGGCAAAUCCGGGGUACUCUAUGCUGAGAUCUGAUAGCAAGCUGUACUUGUACAGCGAAGUGGUUGAUGCCAUGCUUCCAGGAAAAGUCUCUAAGCUUCAGUUACACAGGAAUCGUACCCGAAACCGACACAGGUGGUCAGGUCGAGUAGACCAAGGCGCUUGAGAGAACUCUGCUGAAGGAACUAGGCAAAAAUGGUACCGUAACUUCGGGAGAAGGUACGCUGUUGUUGGUGAUGGAACUCGCUUCCUGAGCUGACGACAGCCGCAGAAACCAGGCCGCUGCAACUGUUUAUUAAAAACAUAGCACUCUGCAAACACGAAAGUGGACGUAUAGGGUGUGAUGCCUGCCCGGUGCUGGAAGGUUAAUUGAUGGGGUUAGCGUAAGCGAAGCUCUUGAUCGAAGCCCCAGUAAACGGCGGCCGUAACUAUAACGGUCCUAAGGUAGCGAAAUUCCUUGUCGGGUAAGUUCCGACCUGCACGAAUGGCAUAAUGAUGGCGGCGCUGUCUCCAGCAGAGGCUCAGUGAAAUCGAAAUCGCUGUGAAGAUGCAGUGUACCCGCGGCUAGACGGAAAGACCCCGUGAACCUUUACUGCAGCUUGACACUGAACUUUGACCUUACUUGUGUAGGAUAGGUGGGAGGCUUUGAAGCUGGAACGCUAGUUCCAGUGGAGCCGUCCUUGAAAUACCACCCUGGUAAUGUUGAGGUUCUAACUCUGUCCCGUGAUCCGGGACGAGGACCGUGUCUGGUGGGUAGUUUGACUGGGGCGGUCUCCUCCUAAAGAGUAACGGAGGAGUACGAAGGUGCGCUCAGCGUGGUCGGAAAUCACGCGUAGAGUAUAAAGGCAAAAGCGCGCUUAACUGCGAGACCCACAAGUCGAGCAGGUACGAAAAGUAGGUCUUAGUGAUCCGGUGGUUCUGUAUGGAAGGGCCAUCGCUCAACGGAUAAAAGGUACUCUGGGGAUAACAGGCUGAUACCGCCCAAGAGUUCAUAUCGACGGCGGUGUUUGGCACCUCGAUGUCGGCUCAUCUCAUCCUGGGGCUGAAGCAGGUCCCAAGGGUAUGGCUGUUCGCCAUUUAAAGAGGUACGCGAGCUGGGUUUAGAACGUCGUGAGACAGUUCGGUCCCUAUCUACCGUGGGCGCUGGAAAUUUGAGAGGAUCUGCUCCUAGUACGAGAGGACCAGAGUGGACGAACCUCUGGUGUACCGGUUGUGACGCCAGUCGCAUCGCCGGGUAGCUAUGUUCGGAAGGGAUAACCGCUGAAAGCAUCUAAGCGGGAAGCCUACCUCAAGAUAAGAUUUCCCUAGGACUUUAUGUCCUCUAAAGAGCCGUUCGAGACUAGGACGUUGAUAGGUUGGAUGUGGAAGCAUAGUGAUAUGUGAAGCUGACCAAUACUAAUUGCUCGUGAGGCUUGACUAUACAACACCCAAGCAGUUG